UAAAUGCAGAUGAUAGAGACGGUAUAUUAAAUUUAGUUUCAAAGAGAGUUAGUAAUUUGGUGAAAACUAACAGCUAAUUAAUAUAUAGAUCACUCUUGAUGUUUCUUUUUGAACCAGAGUAAAUAAGAACGGUAACGCGUUAUAGUUAUUAAGUGUACUUUGAAGUAAAAUAAGGUGGUACCGCGGGUAAACUCGUCCUUAAU
Molecule: non-coding RNA, 203 nt
Filed under: Bacillota bacterium
Lineage: Bacteria; Bacillati; Bacillota
Description: Firmicutes bacterium T-box sequence
Rfam family: T-box leader
About the family: Uncharged tRNA acts as the effector for transcription antitermination of genes in the T-box leader family. T-boxes are found upstream of many aminoacyl-tRNA synthetase genes and some amino acid biosynthetic genes usually in Gram-positive bacteria. The anticodon of a specific tRNA base pairs to a specifier sequence within the T-box motif, and the NCCA acceptor tail of the tRNA base pairs to a conserved bulge in the T-box antiterminator hairpin.
Source: RNAcentral